UCAAAAUGUCCAUGAUCCAAACAUUGUGUUUGUUUGUUUCAUUUCACUCUGUCUGUGAUUAGAUGGUGGAAGGCAUUUACAAUAAAGUUUAAUCUCUUAGAUUUUCAUGCUUUUAAAAGAUCUGAUAUUGGUGCCAUUUUUUGUGAAUUUGAUGCCCUAAUAUUUCUUGGCGGAUAUGAUCCAUAAACACCUAAUGGCGUUGAAGAGGCCAUUAUGUCUUCAUAAAUCAGAUCAGAUGGAAAACUCUAGACUUACCAAGGGCCUCUCUCUUGCAGCGGUCAGUCUAGAAUCUCAGUUUGCAAAAUGCCAUGAUUUUUCAGUAAUUUAGUUACAUGUUUUGUGAUAUAGAGCAUAUGAGGAUAUAGAAUUAUAAAGAACACCAUCUUUCGGGACUGAAUGGCUUAAUGCCUUGGUGACAUAUUCUGCAAUUCUGAGGCUUGUAGGUCUUAAUUUCGUUAUUCACAUUCUUAAUUUUAUUGGCGACCAGUAACAAACUGCUUAGUUUUCAACUGUCCUGCUUGGUUAUAUCGAUGGUUUUACCUCUAAAAAUUCUGGCUACAUUUUUAAUUAUUGAAUUUGAAUUUCUGUUAGAUUAUGAGUACAUCUCUAGUGUUUUAGUCUAUGAUCAUAUAAUUUGCUACAAUUACAAAAUACCCGUGCUUCUGAUAGUAAUCUAUGAAGCUAAAAAGGUAAAAAUGGUUGACUUUCUUGAUAUGAGCCAUUAUUGAUAGUUUGGAGGACUGCUACCACUACAACAGUAUAGUGUGUCAUAAUCAUUUUUCAUACACAUCGGUAUAAAUUACUUGAAAAGAUUUUCAUUUGAAUCUACAGUUUGACAUUUUGACAUGCAAUUAGUGUAUUUUUAUUUGAGGUUACAUAACAUAUACGAUACAACAAUAUGCUAGCUAGAUAACAACAAAAGUAAAACAUUUCAAAGUACUUGAUAUUGAGCCUAAAGUGUUUAACAAUGCUAGACAAUCAUUAGUUUUGGUUUUGAAUAUCUAGUCUUCUCUUUUAUGCUAUGUAUUCAUUUGUAGUUGUGUAUGCCAAUGAUGCAGAAAUUGAAACCAGUUGAGACUAGUUUCAAUCGGUAGUGGCCAGACAACCGUAGGAAUGUGGUAUCCGUAGAUAACGAGUUUAAUUCAGUCCCGAUUUGUCUACUAUUUCCAUCUCACAUUUUUUUAAUGCAUAAUCUUUUUUGUAUGUGUUGUUUAGUUUUUUCAUUACAAAAUGCAAGCUUUACCUUAGGCUGUUUCUGCUGUGAUCAUGCAAGACAAACUGUGGGACACAGCCCUCAGUAAGGCUAGCAGUUGCAGGCUUGCAGUUCUGUAUGUCAACUUAUUUUAUAAUUGAAGCACCAUUCCAUCUAUUAAAUGUUAUGCACAUCUGUAUGUCAUCUAUAAAGCAAAUAGGUCAACCUGGAACCAAGCUAUUUAGCUCAUGAUGCCUUGAUUUGAUGUUUGUAAGCUCGGGUAGUUACAUUCCAUGACUGCAUACAAUUUUUGCAUCUAUUACAACUGCUUGAGCACUGAUACAUCUUUUUUAGCAAUUACUAAUGUCUACUUUAUGCAACUCUUGUUCUUAGACUUCCAACGUUGUAACAUUUUGAUCUUGUCCACUGUCAUCUAUAAAGCAAAUUGGUUUUCUUGGUAUCAACUUUGUGUCGGAAGAUGACUAAAGAGAAUGCUUUGCCAAGCGUCUUUGCUCUUGAAUAGUCAUCAUUCAUGAUGAGGUCUUGGUGUAGCUCAAAUGU
Papaver somniferum (opium poppy) is the source of this 1753-nucleotide long non-coding RNA. RefSeq lists it as uncharacterized. The transcript is spliced from 2 exons. NCBI's taxonomy places the organism in Eukaryota, Viridiplantae, Streptophyta, Magnoliopsida, Ranunculales, Papaveraceae. The record is from RefSeq and is a predicted model, not a curated record.